This 253-nucleotide ribosomal RNA is filed under the name uncultured bacterium. RNAcentral describes it as "partial 16S ribosomal RNA". It matches the Rfam family "Bacterial small subunit ribosomal RNA", at positions 524 to 776 of the family's 1533-position model. The record is from RNAcentral.
UACAGAGGUCCCAAGCGUUGUUCGGAUUCAUUGGGCGUAAAGGGUGCGUAGGUGGCGCCGUAAGUGGGGUGUGAAAUUUCGGAGCUUAACUCCGAAACUGCAUUCCAUACUGCGGUGCUUGAGGACUGGAGGGGAGACUGGAAUUUACGGUGUAGCAGUGAAAUGCGUAGAGAUCGUAAGGAAGACCAGUGGCGAAGGCGGGUCUCUGGACAGUUCCUGACACUGAGGCACGAAGGCCAGGGGAGCAAACGGG